Molecule: ribosomal RNA, 385 nt
Filed under: Klebsiella michiganensis
Lineage: Bacteria; Pseudomonadati; Pseudomonadota; Gammaproteobacteria; Enterobacterales; Enterobacteriaceae
Description: bacterial LSU rRNA
Rfam family: Bacterial large subunit ribosomal RNA
Source: RNAcentral
GUAGGUCCCAAGGGUAUGGCUGUUCGCCAUUUAAAGUGGUACGCGAGCUGGGUUUAGAACGUCGUGAGACAGUUCGGUCCCUAUCUGCCGUGGGCGCUGGAGAAUUGAGGGGGGCUGCUCCUAGUACGAGAGGACCGGAGUGGACGCAUCACUGGUGUUCGGGUUGUCAUGCCAAUGGCAUUGCCCGGUAGCUAAAUGCGGAAGAGAUAAGUGCUGAAAGCAUCUAAGCACGAAACUUGCCCCGAGAUGAGUUCUCCCUGACCCUUUAAGGGUCCUGAAGGAACGUUGAAGACGACGACGUUGAUAGGCCGGGUGUGUAAGCGCAGCGAUGCGUUGAGCUAACCGGUACUAAUGAACCGUGAGGCUUAACCUUACAACGCCGAAG